CCAUUAGGUACGUUAAUUAAUCACGUGAUGUGGAGGGCAAGAGUUGGAUUAAUCUCAAGUGAAGAUGAUGAAUGAACCUGAAGCUUGGAUGAUCUGAUCAAGUACCAGGAUCGGAUGAGAGAUGCUCCCCACGCGGACGUCAUCUAACAACACUGACUUAGUGUUAUCCCAGGCAAGCCCCGGUGCAUUUGCCACCUCCUUGUUGUUUUAAAACUUUUAUCACUUAUAUGCUGCAUUAGGUGAUAGGAGUUGAGUGAUGAAACAGUUGAUGCAUUGCCAUUCCUUGGAAUUUGAUUAUCCUCCUUGAUACCUGUUUUACAAAAAGAACUAAUGAGGCAUAGCCUUGCCUAGAGAAUUAAAACAUGUUUCUUUUUAAAAGAAUGAUGUGUGACACUGGGUAUGGGUUUGUUUUAUGAAAAAGGACUUGUAAUGGUGAGCGCAUCAUUGAAAGGGAAAUGUGCCCUUGGGCCAUUUCUAAGUAUUUUGGUGAUUUAGUGUCCAACACAAGUGCCUAAGUGGAAAAAGGUGGACAAAGUACAAAUCAAGGAUAAAGGUAUGUUUCUCAGACUUAGUACAUUGUUUUAUGGACUAAUGUAUUGUGUCUAAGUGCUGGAAAUAGGAAAAAUCCAAUUGAAAAUGUCUUGGCUCGAGCAGCCAAGACUCUGCUCAGUCUGGGUGCACCGGACAGUGUCUGGUGCGCCAGGCUAGCUCGAGCGAACUGGCCGCUCUCGGGAAUUCACCGGCGACGUACGACUAUAAUUCACCGGACUGUCCGGUGUGCACCGGACUGUCCGGUGAGCCAACGGUCGGCCGGGGCAACGGUCGGCCGCGCGAUCUGCGCGGGACACGUGGCCGAGCCAACGGCUAGAAGGAGGCACCGGACUGUCCGGUGUGCACCGGACAUGUCCGGUGCGCCAACGGCUCUCAGGCUGCCAACGGUCGACUGCGCCAUUUUUGGAAGGAAAUCGGGCACCGGACUGUCCGGUGCGCCAGUCGACAGAAGGCAAGAUCAGCCUUCCUAGAAUGCUCUCAACGGCUCCUAGCUGCCUUGGGGCUAUAAAAGGGACCCCUAGGCGCAUGGAGGAGUAUCUCAAGCAUCCCCUAAGCACUCCUAAGCACUAAGACAUCGAUUUCGCGCCUUUGAUUCUUUGCGAUAGCAAUUAGAGCUCUAGUUGAGUGGUGAACUCAUUGAGUUGUGUUGUGAGCUCUCGUUGCAACUUGUGUGCGUGGUGUUGCUGUGAUUUCUUGUCUUGAGUGCGUUGCUAAUCCCUCCCUUGUUCUGUGCUUCUUUGUGAACUUCAAGUGUAAGGGCGAGAGGCUCCAAGUUGUGGAGAUUCCUCGCAAACGGGAUUGAGAAAAGCAAGCAAAACACCAUGGUAUUCAAGUGAGUCUUUGGACCGCUUGAGAGGGGUUGAUUGCAACCCUCGUCCGUUGGGACGCCACAACGUGGAGUAGGCAAGCAUUGGUCUUGGCCGAACCACGGGAUAACCACCGUGCCAUCUCUGUGAUUGAUUUCUUGUGGUUAUUGUGUUUUGUUGAGACUCCUCUCUAGCCACUUGGCAUUUACUGUGCUAACGCUUAACCAAGUUUGUGUGGCUUAAGUUUUCAAGUUUUACAGGAUCACCUAUUCACCCCCCCUCUAGGUGCUCUCAAUUGGUAUCGGAGCCGUUCUCUUCACAAAGGGACUAACCGCCCGAAGAGAUGGAUCCUAAGGGGAAGGGUAUCGUGAUCAACGAUAAAGAGAAGGAAUCUUUCGUCAACGAGCCGAAGGAUGACAAGCCUACCGACUCGGGCUCGGGCCAUAGAUGGAAAGAUGGGAAGAAGAAGAAGACAAGGCGCAUCAAGGAGAUUGUCUACUACGACGACAGCGACGAGUCAUCUUCUUCCCAAAAGGACGACGACCACAACGACUACGAGAGAAGGAAACCGGUUAAUUCGAACUUUUCUUUUGACUACUCUCGUAUUCCGCAAAGUUCAAAUUCACAUUUGCUCUCCAUUCCUCUCGGCAAGCCUCCACACUUUGAUGGGGAGGACUACAGAUUUUGGAGCCACAAAAUGUGUAGUCACCUAUUCUCUCUCCAUCCUAGUAUAUGGGAGAUUGUAGAGAGUGGAAUGCACUUUGAUAGUACGGAUAGUCCCAUGUUCAUUAAUGAGCAAAUUCAUAAGAAUGCACAAGCUACUACUGUUCUUCUAGCUUCAUUGUGCAGGGAUGAAUACCACAAAGUGAGCGGCUUGGAUAACGCCAAGCAGAUCUGGGACACCCUCAAGAUUUCUCAUGAGGGGAACGACGUCACCUUGCUCACCAAAAUGGAGUUGGUGGAGGGCGAGCUUGGACGAUUUGCGAUGAUAAGGGGCGAGGAGCCGACACAAACAUACAACCGGCUCAAGACUCUUAUCAACAAAAUAAGGAGCUACGGAAGCACGCGAUGGACGGACCACGACGUCGUUCGACUGAUGCUAAGGUCCUUUACCGUUCUUGAUCCUCAUUUGGUGAAUAAUAUUCGUGAGAAUUCCAGGUACACCAAAAUGUCGCCCGAAGAAGUCCUUGGAAAAUUUGUAAGCGGGCGAAUGAUGAUCAAGGAGGCGAGGUACGUGGACGACGCUCUAAACGGUCCAAUCAAUGAGCCUCAACCCGUUGCUCUCAAGGCAACAAGGAGCAAGGAGGCGUUACCCAGCAAGGUAGCACAAAUUGAGGCGGCCGGACUUAAUGAUGAAGAGAUGGCCCUCAUCAUCAAAAGAUUCAAGACGGCGCUAAAGGGUCGCAAGGGGCAGCCAAGCAAGACCAAGACAAAGGGGAAGCGCUCAUGCUUCAAAUGUGGUAAGCUUGGUCAUUUUAUUGCUAACUGUCCCGACAAUGAUAGUGAUCAGGAUCAAGGGAACAAGAGGAAGAAGAAGAAGAACUAUAAGAAGGCAAAGGGCGAGGCACAUCUUGGCAAGGAGUGGGACUCCGACAAUGAAGGACUCGCUGCCACCGCCUUCAACAAGUCAUCCCUCUUCCCCAAUGAGCGUCACACAUGCCUUAUGGCAAGGGAGAAGAAGGUAUGUACUCGAAACUCUACUUAUGCUUCUUCAAGUGAGGACGAAUCUAGUGAUGAGGAUGAAAUAGAUUAUUCAUGUUUAUUUAAGGGCCUAGAUAGAACCAAGGUAGAUAAAAUUAAUGAAUUGAUUGAUGCCUUGAAUGAUAAGAAUAGGCUUUUAGAAAAACAAGAGGACGUGUUGUAUGAAGAACAUGACAAAUUUGUAGAAGCACAAAAAUCUCAUGCCUUAGAAGUUAAGAGAAAUGAAAUGCUUUCUUGUGAAUUAUCUUCUUGUCAUGAGACGAUUUCUAGCUUAAGGAGCAUUAAUGAUGAUUUGAAUGCUAAGUUAGAAAUAGCUAGUAAAUCAACAACUUGUGUAGAAAAUGUUGUUAUUUGCAAUAGAUGUAAAGAUUUUGAUAUUGAUGCUUGUAGUGAACACAUAGCUUCUAUUGCAAAGUUAAAUGAUGAAAUGGCUAGUCUUAAUGCCCAACUUAAGGCUAGCAAAAGUGAUUUUGAUAAACUAAAAUUUGCCAGGGAUGCCUACACGAUUGGUAGACACCCCUCCAUUAAGGAUGGGCUUGGCUUCAAGAGGGAAGCCAAGAACUUAACAAGCCAUAAGGCUCCCAUCUCCGCCAAGGAGAAAGGGAAGGCCCCUAUGGCAAGUAGUACUAAAAAGAACCAUGCUUUUAUGUACAAUGAUAGAAGACAGUCUCAUAGGAGUUGUAAUGCUUUUGAUUCACAUGCCUAUGAUUCUUAUGCUAUGUUUGCUUCCAGUUCUUCCUAUAUGCAUGGUAGAGAUAUGCCUAGGAAAAAUAUUCAUCAUGUGCCUAGAAAGAAUAUUGUUCAUGUUCCUAGGAAAGUUAUGAAUGGACCCUCUACAAUUUAUCAUGCUUUAAAUGCUUCCUUUGCUAUUUGUAGAAAGGAUAGGAAGAUAGUUGCUAGGAAAUUAGGGGCAAAAUGCAAGGGUGAUAAAACUUGCAUUUGGGUCCCUAAGACAAUUGUGACUAACCUUGUAGGACCCAACAAGAGUUGGGUACCUAAGACCCAAGCCUAAAUUUGCCUUGCAGGUUUAUGCAUCCGGGGGUUCAAGCUGGAUUAUCGACAGCGGAUGCACGAACCAUAUGACGGGGGAAAAGAAGAUGUUCACCUCCUACGUCAAGAAUAAGGAUUCCCCAGAUUCAAUCAUAUUCGGUGAUGGGAACCAAGGCAAGGUGAAAGGUUUAGGCAAGAUUGCAAUAUCAAAUGAGCACUCUAUCUCUAAUGUGUUUUUAGUUGAGUCUCUUGGAUAUAAUUUACUAUCUGUCAGUCAAUUAUGUAAUAUGGGAUAUAAUUGUCUAUUUACAAAUGUAGAUGUGUCUGUCUUUAGAAGAUGUGAUGGUUCACUAGCUUUUAAGGGUGUACUAGACGACAAACUUUAUUUAGUUGAUUUUGCAAAAGAGGAGGCCGAUCUAGAUACAUGCUUAAUUGCUAAGACUAGCAUGGGCUGGCUGUGGCAUCGCCGCUUAGCACAUGUGGGGAUGAAGAACCUUCACAAGCUUCUAAAGGGAGAACACGUGAUAGGUUUGACUAACGUGCAAUUCGAAAAAGAUAGACCUUGUGCAGCUUGUCAAGCAGGUAAACAAGUGGGAGGAGCACAUCACAGCAAGAAUGUGAUGACCACUUCAAGACCUCUGGAGCUGCUGCAUAUGGACCUCUUCGGACCCGUCGCCUAUCUGAGCAUCGGAGGAAGUAAGUAUGGUCUAGUUAUUGUUGAUGACUUUUCCCGCUUCACUUGGGUGUUCUUUUUGCAGGAUAAGUCUGAAACCCAAGGGACCCUCAAGCGCUUCCUAAGGAGAGCUCAAAAUGAGUUUGAGCUCAAGGUGAAGAAGAUAAGAAGCGACAAUGGGUCCGAGUUCAAGAACCUUCAAGUGGAGGAGUUCCUUGAGGAGGAGGGGAUCAAGCACGAGUUCUCCGCUCCCUACACACCUCAGCAAAAUGGUGUGGUAGAGAGGAAGAACAGGACGCUCAUUGAUAUGGCAAGGACUAUGCUUGGAGAGUUCAAGACCCCCGAGCGUUUUUGGUCGAAAGCCGUGAACACGGCUUGCCACGCCAUCAACAGGGUCUAUCUUCAGCGCCUCCUCAAGAAGACUUCAUAUGAGCUGCUAACUGGUAACAAACCCAAUGUAUCUUAUUUUCGUGUAUUUGGGAGCAAGUGUUAUAUUCUUGUGAAGAAAGGUAGAACCUCUAAAUUUGCUCCCAAAGUUGUAGAAGGGUUUUUAUUAGGUUAUGAUUCAAAUACAAAGGCGUAUAGGGUCUUCAACAAAUCAUCGGGUUUGGUUGAAGUCUCUAGCGACGUUGUAUUUGAUGAGACUAAUGGCUCUCCAAGAGAGCAAGUUGUUGAUCUUGAUGAUGUAGAUGAAGAAGACGGUCCAACGGCCGCGAUACGCACCAUGGCGAUUGGAGAUGUACGGCCUCAGGAACAAUUGGAGCAAGAUCAACCGUCUUCCUCAACUAUGGUGCAUCCCCCAACCCAAGAUGACGAACAUGUACCUCAAGUGGAGGCGCAUGAUCAAGGGGGAGCACAGGAUGUUCAAAUUGAAGAAGAAGAAGCACCUCAGGCACCUCCAACCCAAGUUCGAGCGACGAUCCAAAGGGAUCAUCCCAUCGACCAAAUUUUGGGUGAUAUUAGCAAGGGAGUAACUACUCGUUCAAGAUUAGUUAAUUUUUGUGAGCAUUACUCCUUUGUCUCUUCUAUUGAGCCUUUCAGGGUAGAAGAGGCCUUGCUAGAUCCGGACUGGGUGUUGGCCAUGCAGGAGGAACUCAACAAUUUCAAGCGCAAUGAAGUUUGGACACUGGUGCCUCACCCCAAGCAAAAUGUUGUGGGAACCAAGUGGGUGUUCCGCAACAAACAGGACGAGCACGGGGUGGUGACGAGGAACAAGGCUCGACUUGUGGCAAAAGGUUAUGCCCAAGUCGCAGGUUUGGACUUUGAGGAGACUUUUGCUCCUGUGGCUAGGCUAGAAUCAAUCCGUAUCUUGCUAGCAUAUGCCGCUCACCAUUCUUUCAGGUUGUACCAAAUGGAUGUGAAGAGCGCUUUCCUCAACGGGCCGAUCAAGGAGGAGGUGUACGUGGAGCAACCCCCUGGCUUCGAGGAUGAACGGUACCCCGACCACGUGUGUAAGCUCUCUAAGGCGCUCUAUGGACUUAAGCAAGCCCCAAGAGCAUGGUAUGAAUGCCUUAGAGACUUUUUAAUUGCUAAUGCUUUCAAGGUCGGGAAAGCCGAUCCAACUCUUUUUACUAAGACUUGCGAUGGUGAUCUUUUUGUGUGCCAAAUUUAUGUCGAUGACAUAAUAUUUGGUUCUACUAAUCAAAAGUCUUGUGAAGAGUUUAGCAGGGUGAUGACGCAGAAAUUCGAGAUGUCGAUGAUGGGCGAGUUGAACUACUUCCUUGGGUUCCAAGUGAAGCAACUCAAGGACGGCACUUUCAUCUCCCAAACGAAGUACACGCAAGAUUUUCUAAAGCGGUUUGGGAUGAAGGACGCCAAGCCCGCCAAGACGCCGAUGGGAACCGACGGACACACCGACCUCAACAAAGGAGGUAAGUCCGUUGAUCAAAAAGCAUACCGGUCCAUGAUAGGUUCUUUGCUUUAUUUAUGUGCUAGUAGACUGGAUAUUAUGCUUAGUGUAUGCAUGUGUGCUAGAUUUCAAUCCGAUCCUAAGGAGUGUCACUUAGUGGCUGUGAAGCGAAUUCUUCGAUAUUUAGUCGCUACGCCUUGCUUCGGGAUCUGGUAUCCAAAGGGGUCUAACUUUGACUUGAUUGGGUACUCAGAUUCCGACUAUGCUGGAUGUAAAGUCGAUAGGAAGAGUACAUUGGGGACGUGCCAAUUCUUAGGAAGGUCCCUGGUGUCGUGGAACUCUAAGAAACAAACUUCCGUUGCCUUAUCCACCGCUGAGGCCGAGUACGUUGCCGCAGGACAGUGUUGUGCGCAACUACUUUGGAUGAGGCAAACCCUCCGAGACUUUGGCUACAAUCUGAGCAAAGUCCCACUCCUAUGUGACAAUGAGAGUGCUAUCCGAAUAGCGGAAAAUCCUGUUGAGCACAGCCGCACAAAGCACAUUGACAUCUGGCAUCACUUUUUGAGAGACCACCAGCAAAAGGGAGAUAUCGAAGUGUUUCAUGUUAGCACCGAGAACCAGCUAGCCGAUAUCUUCACUAAGCCUUUAGAUGAAAAGACCUUUUGCAGGCUGCGUAGUGAGCUAAAUGUCCUAGAUUCGCGGAACUUGGAUUGAUUUAUAGCAUACAUGUAUUUAUGCCUUUGAUCAUGUUCCUUAUGCAUUUUGUUGGUUACUUGUGGUGCUCAAGUUGUACAAACACUCCCUGGACCUCACAAGUCCUUUUUGCAAGUGAUGCACAUAUUUAGGGGGAGCUGUGCUACAACUUGACCCUUUGAGACUAACUGUUUGCUUGAGUUUGCUUGAUUUAGUCUCAAAGGAGGUUUGAAAGGGAAAGGUGGACUUGGACCAUGAAAAACUUCCACUGCACUCCGAUGAGAGGGUAACUAAUUCCAAGUUUAUCUCACGUACUCUUAUUGCCUUUGUGUUCUCAUUUGAAGAUUUUGGUGAGGCAAUGGGGUUAAAGGGCCAAGAUUGAUCCCGUUUUGGUGCUUGAUGCCAAAGGGGGAGAAAAUAAAGGUCAAAUCAAUAGAUGGAUCAGCUACCACUUGAGAAAUUUAGAAAAUAGUAGAUUAGAGCUUUUGGUUUGUCAAAAGUUGGCUUCUUGUGGGAGAAGUGUUGAUUAUGGGAAAAAGGGGAGUUUUUGAAAUCUUGAAUCAAUUUCUCUUGGAAUGACUCUCUUUAUGUCUUAACAUGUGUGUUUGACUUAGAGAUAGAAAUUUGAGUUUGAUUUGCAAAAACAAACCAAGUGGUGGCAAAGAGUGAUCCAUAUAUGUCAAAUUUGAAUCAAAACAAUUUUGAGUUCUUAUUUGAAUUGAUUUUGUACUUGUUCUACUUGCUUUAUGUUGUGUUGGCAUAAAUCACCAAAAAGGGGGAGAUUGAAAGGGAAAUGUGCCCUUGGGCCAUUUCUAAGUAUUUUGGUGAUUUAGUGUCCAACACAAGUGCCUAAGUGGAAAAAGGUGGACAAAGUACAAAUCAAGGAUAAAGGUAUGUUUCUCAGACUUAGUACAUUAUUUUAUGGACUAAUGUAUUGUGUCUAAGUACUGGAAACAGGAAAAAUCCAAUUGAAA
This 8238-nucleotide long non-coding RNA is filed under the name Zea mays. RNAcentral describes it as "long non-coding RNA (ZMAY_LNC005002)". Lineage: Eukaryota; Viridiplantae; Streptophyta; Magnoliopsida; Poales; Poaceae. The record is from RNAcentral.